UACGAAGGGGGCUAGCGUUGCUCGGAAUCACUGGGCGUAAAGCGCGCGUAGGCGGAUUGUUAAGUCAGGGGUGAAAUCCUGGAGCUCAACUCCAGAACUGCCUUUGAUACUGGCGAUCUCGAGUCCGGGAGAGGUGAGUGGAACUGCGAGUGUAGAGGUGAAAUUCGUAGAUAUUCGCAAGAACACCAGUGGCGAAGGCGGCUCACUGGCCCGGUACUGACGCUGAGGUGCGAAAGCGUGGGGAGCAACAGGG
Molecule: ribosomal RNA, 253 nt
Filed under: uncultured bacterium
Lineage: Bacteria
Description: partial 16S ribosomal RNA
Rfam family: Bacterial small subunit ribosomal RNA
Source: RNAcentral